GGAAGGAGGAAAAGGAGGAAGAGAGGGGGAAGGAAGGAAAGGGAGAAUUAAGGGAGGGAAGGAAGGAAGGGAGCAGAAGGGAGAGGAAAAGGAGGAAGGAAGGGAGAGGAGAGGGGGAAGGAAGGAAGGAAGGAAAGGGGGGAAGGAAGGAAGGGAGAGGAGAGAGAGAGAAGGAAGGAAAAGGAAGAGGAGAGAGGGAAGGAAGGAAAGAAGGAAAGGAGAGAGGACAGGGAGGAAGGAAGGAAAGGGAGAGGGCAGGAAGGAAGGAAAGGGAGAGGACAGGAAGGAAGGAAGGAAGGGAGAUGACAGAGGAAAGGAAGGAAAAGGGGAAGGGAGGAAGGAAAGAAGGGAGACAGGAGGAAGGAAGGAAAGAGGGCAGGAAAGGGAGAGGGCAGGAAGGGAGGAAGGGAGGAAGGGAGGAAAGGGUUAGAAAGAAAAAGGGAGACAGGCGACUUGACAUAUGGUACAAAUAUAUAUUAGUUCCAUUUUUAUGUUUUUUUUAUCUUCUACAAUUUAACACACACACACACACACACACACACACACACACACACACACACACACAUACACACACACACACACACGCUAUACUUUUCUAUUCCUUUUCUUUCUUCCUUUAUUUUAAUUUCUUCCUUUUACUUUAUUUUUGUUGUUGUUGUUUUCAUAGAGGCAGACUUUUUUUUUCCUUCUUCUUCUUCCUCUUUCGCCUUUUUUUCUCAUUUUGUGUCAUUUCUAUCUCCUCUAUUUUCUUUUAUUUUAUCUUUUCAUUUGUCUUCAUUCAUUUCUCCUUCGUUUUAUCUCCCUUUUCUUCCUUUUAUUUUCUUCUUCCUAUUUCCUGUAACUUGAUUCAUUCUUCCUCAUUUUACAUAUUUCCUCUCUUUCUCUCAUUCCUUUUAAUUCCCUUCUUUAUUCUCUGCUUCGUAAUUUUGUCGUCUAUCUCAUAUUUACAAUCUUUAUUCUUUUUAAUUUUGUCUUCCCUUAAAUUUCUUCUUCACUUCCCAUCUAGUUAAUUUUUGUCCUCUUUUCCUUCUUUUUCUCUUACUUGUUUUUGUUUUCUUUCAUUCUUUUCCCUCAUAUUUUUCUUCACUUCAAAAUUAUCUUCCAUUAUCUUCCGUUCCAUUCUUAUAUUCUUCUUCACUUCAAAAUUAUCUUCCAUUAUCCUCCGUUCCAUUCUUCCAUCCCUUUCACCGUCUGUGUUUCCUGCUUCACAACUCUUACGGCUUAAUUCCUACCUGUUUCUAUUUCCAUCUUUCAUUCUUGCGUUUCUUCACUUAAUAUCUCUUAUCAGCUUAACUCUUACAUAUAUUUCUUUUUCCUCUCAUUCUUUCACUUCUCCUAAACUACAUCUCUCUAAUACAGCUUGAAUCUUACAUAUCUUUAUUCCAGUCUUUCACUCUUUCAUCUCUCUACAACCAAUCUCUUACAACUCAAUUCUUACAUUCUUCUAUUCUUCUCCCAUUCUUCCACUUCUCCUAAGCUACAUCUCUCUAAUACAGCUUGAAUCUUACAUAUCUCUAUUCCUAUCUUUCACUCUUUCAUCUCUCUACAACCAAUCUCUUACAACUCAAUUCUUACAUUCUUCUAUUCUUCUCCCAUUCUUCCACUUCUCCUAAGCUACAUCUCUCUAAUACAGCUUGAAUCUUACAUAUCUCUAUUCAAAUCUUUCACUCUUUCAUCUCUCUACUACCAAUCUCUUACAACUCAAUUCUUACAUUUAUCCUUCUCUCAUACACUUUAAUCAACUCCUUCAUCUCCCUUCAUCAUCAACUUCUUCAUCCUCUUGGCUUAACGUUUACGCCUCGCUACGUACACACACAAGGUUCUCCCCCCUACGCCUUACACUUAGGUAUGUAAUAGGUAGCGUUAAUCCAACUUGAAAGCAUUGCGUCGGAUAGGAAGCUCGGAAAUGACACUACGAUAGCUUGGCGGAGGAGCAGGUCUGGCGUUUAUAAAAAUUUGGCAAACGCACAUGAUAGUAGAAGCAAUAGUAGUAGUAGUAGUAGUAGUAGUAGUAGUAUGGGAACUCUUUAGCUAAUACUACAUCCAGCUUGAAAAAAUAUAGGGAAUUGUAUCUCGUUCUCUCUCUCUCUCUCUCUCUCUCUCGGAUAAGAAAAUAAACACUCACUUUUUCUAGAGAGGAUUGAGGUGUGUGUGUGUGUGUGUGUGUGUGUGUGUGUGUGUGUGUGUAGGAUUCUCAACAGUAACCAGGAACAAUAACUAGGAUUCUUCAUCUCCUACAUAUCCUACACUCCCUGCAGUAGGAUAUCUAGGAUCUAAGUAAGCCAUAGGGCACUGAGGAUUUAGAUGCAGCAAAAUUUCCCCCAAGAACUGAUAUCCUAUGCUUCUUAUAUGUCCUAAACUCCUUAUUUUAGGAUACAGAAAGGAUCUAAGGACAUAGGUGCUGUAAAUUCUCCAUGAACUGAUAUCCUACAUUCUCUCAAAGGAUGCACAAAGGAUCUAAAGGAUAUUGGGUGUUGGAAAGGAUCUAACUCCACAUAAUAGGAUCUAGAAAGGUGUUGCAAAGGUUCCAACUCCACAUAAAAGGAUCUAGAAAGGAUAUUAGGUGUUUGCAAAGGUUCUAACUCCACAUAAAAGGAUUUGGAGAGGAUAUUGAGUGUUUGGAAAGGUUCUAACUCCACAUAAAAGGAUCUGGAGAGGAUAUUGAGUGUUGCAAAGGUUCUAACUCCACAUAAAAGGAUUUGGAGAGGAUAUUGAGUGUUGCAAAGGUUCUAACUCCACAUAAAAGGAUUUGGAGAGGAUGUUGAGUGUUGCAAAGAUUCUAACUCCACAUAAAAGGAUUUGGAGAGGAUAUUGAGUGUCGCAAAGGUUCUAACUCCACAUAAAAGCAUACCAACACUUGAAUCCUAAUGUGAGACUAAAGAAGGAGGUUUGAAUGCUCUUCGUCUUCAAGUACAGGGGACAAGGGAAUCAAAUGCUCUUUUAAACUGAGAUGGUUAUACUCUUGUUGUCGUUUUGAUACAUUUCAUUUUGGGCUUAAAUCUUAGACGUUACAAGUUCACAAAAAUAUACAUCUACGAAUUUUUAUGGAGGAGGAAGAAGAAGAGGAGGAGGAAGGAAGGGAAAGGAAGGAAGAGGAGGAGGAGGAAGGAAAAGGAAGGGAAAAGGAAGGGAAGGGAAGGGAAACAGAAGGAGGAGGAGGAAGGAUGGUGAAGGAAAAGGAAGGGAAGGAAAGGAAGGAGGAGGAGGAGGAGGAGAAAAAGAUAGGAUAAUGAAGGAAAAGGAAGAGAAAAGGAAGGGAAAGGAGGAAAGGAAAGGGAAAAUGAAGGAAAAGGAAGGGAAAGGAGGAAAACAGACCAAGCUAAAUUUAAUAACAAUGUGACACUAUCCAUUUUUUUUUUGGAAACAAUGAACUCAAAACAACACACACACACACACACACACACACACACACACACACACACACACACACACACACACACACACAAACUCACACAAUGCAAAAUUCUAAUAACAUAACUUCCACAGGCAAAAAAAAAACAAAAAACAAAAAAAAACAUAAGUAUACCAGCAUCUUGUAUAGCAACAGAGUGAGUGAGUGGAUGGAAGCUGACAGUCUCCCGAAAUCAGGUCAGUUUAUAAUGGCGUAAAUAAUUAUGUUGGAUAAGUAAUUAAGGUGUUGUCAGGAGGGAGCGGAGAGUAGAUAGGCCUUCUCUCUUGAUUGAAUACAGCGGAAAGGGGGUUGACAGACUGGUAGAUAGGACAGACGUGUGUGUGUUUGUGAGUACGUGUGUGACAGCGUAAAUAUAGACCAAUCACUUAGGUGUUGUCAGGAGGAAGCAGAGGGUAGAUAAGCCUUCUCUCUUGAUUGAAUACAGCGGAAAGGGGGUUGACAGACUGGUAGAUAGGACAGGCAUGUGUGUGUUUGUGGGUAUGUGUGUGACAGCGUAAAUAUAGACCAAUCACUUAGGUGUUGUCAGGAGGGAGCGGAGAGUAGAUAGGCCUUCUCUCUUGAUUGAAUGCAGCGGAAAGGCAGUAGACAGACGAAGAAGAUAGUCAGAAUAGAUAGUUAGAAGAUAGACAGAAUAGCAUAGUGAUGUAAAGAAUUAAGUGUUUGAGGCUACGUGCGUGAUGGCGUAAAUUAUCAAGUCUGGUCGUUUACAUUUUAAUAAUCUAAUACCAUUCUUCCAUUAAUCAAACACAUCAGGAACAAGUCUAGAAUCAGGUAUAUAGACAGAUAGACAGGUGUGUGUGUGGGCGCAUAUGUAUCAGAGCAACAAUCGCAUACUCUUCCCUGUAAGUCGAGAGGGGAGGGACAAAGCUACAGGUGACAGAUGGGCAGGUGUGUGCAGGUGUGUGUGGGCGCAUAUGUAUCAGAGCAACAAUAGCAUACUCUUCCCUGUAAGUCGAGAGGGGAGAGACAAAGCUACAGGUAACAGGAAGGGAGGUGUGUGCAGGUGUGAGGGGGCACAUAUGUAUCAGAAAGACCUCAUAUCACAAAGCAGUGCAGUGUCAUCGUGCCUCUACCCAACAACCCUGAGAAGCAACUGUUUAGUGAAGUGGGCACAGAAAAUAGAACAUCUUUUAAUCUAUAGGCCUAGCAUUCAUUUCUCUUAUAGUAUAGAUGUCCGACACAGCCCUCGGUGACGCGUGCAAGGCUACGUGGCGGCUAAUGUGACGUCUAUAGUGCGCGGAAAAUAAUAACGUUAAUAAGAAGAGUAAUGAUGGUAAUUUCUCUAGCGAUGAGCUGAUGUGGAGGUUAGGUGGAAUAAUGUGUGUGGAUGUAUAAAUGUGUGUGUGUGCGUGUGUGUGUGUUUGGCUUAUGUAAGAGAGGUGCGUGUGUGUGUUUUUAUAUAUGUUUUCUUUUCUGUGUUUGUGUGUGUGUGUGUGUGUGUGUGUGUGUGUGUGUGUAUGUGUGUGUGUGUGUUUAAUUCAUCCAUGCAUUUUUUUUUUUUUUAAUUUCUUUUGCUCUCUUUCCCUCUCCCUCUCCCUCUCUCUCUCUCUCUCUCUCUCUCUCUCUCUCUCUCUCACACACACACACACA
Molecule: long non-coding RNA, 5002 nt
Organism: Eriocheir sinensis (Chinese mitten crab)
Lineage: Eukaryota; Metazoa; Arthropoda; Malacostraca; Decapoda; Varunidae
Exons: 2
Source: RefSeq, a predicted model, not a curated record